RNAcentral lists this ribosomal RNA (800 nucleotides) under Virgibacillus olivae. RNAcentral's name for it is "bacterial SSU rRNA". It matches the Rfam family "Bacterial small subunit ribosomal RNA", at positions 35 to 800 of the family's 1533-position model. The record is from RNAcentral. Lineage: Bacteria; Bacillati; Bacillota; Bacilli; Caryophanales; Bacillaceae.
GCCGGUGCGGGGUGCUAUACAUGCAAGUCGAGCGCGGGAAGCAGGCAGAUCCUCUUCGGAGGUGACGCCUGUGGAACGAGCGGCGGACGGGUGAGUAACACGUGGGCAACCUGCCUGUAAGACUGGGAUAACCCCGGGAAACCGGGGCUAAUACCGGAUAAUACUUUUCGUUGCAUAACGAGAAGUUGAAAGGCGGCUUUUAGCUGUCACUUACAGAUGGGCCCGCGGCGCAUUAGCUAGUUGGUAAGGUAACGGCUUACCAAGGCGACGAUGCGUAGCCGACCUGAGAGGGUGAUCGGCCACACUGGGACUGAGACACGGCCCAGACUCCUACGGGAGGCAGCAGUAGGGAAUCUUCCGCAAUGGACGAAAGUCUGACGGAGCAACGCCGCGUGAGUGAUGAAGGUUUUCGGAUCGUAAAACUCUGUUGUCAGGGAAGAACAAGUGCCGUUCAAAUAGGGCGGCACCUUGACGGUACCUGACCAGAAAGCCCCGGCUAACUACGUGCCAGCAGCCGCGGUAAUACGUAGGGGGCAAGCGUUGUCCGGAAUUAUUGGGCGUAAAGCGCGCGCAGGCGGUCCUUUAAGUCUGAUGUGAAAGCCCACGGCUUAACCGUGGAGGGCCAUUGGAAACUGGAGGACUUGAGUACAGAAGAGGAGAGUGGAAUUCCACGUGUAGCGGUGAAAUGCGUAGAGAUGUGGAGGAACACCAGUGGCGAAGGCGACUCUCUGGUCUGUAACUGACGCUGAGGUGCGAAAGCGUGGGGAGCGAACAGGAUUAGAUACCCUGGUAGUCCACGC